Molecule: ribosomal RNA, 440 nt
Filed under: uncultured bacterium
Lineage: Bacteria
Description: partial 16S ribosomal RNA
Rfam family: Bacterial small subunit ribosomal RNA
Source: RNAcentral
CCUACGGGAGACAGCAGUGGGGAAUAUUGCACAAUGGGGGAAACCCUGAUGCAGCGACGCCGCGUGAGUGAAGAAGUAUUUCGGUAUGUAAAGCUCUAUCAGCAGGGAAGAAAAUGACGGUACCUGAUUCAGAAGCCCCGGCUAACUACGUGCCAGCAGCCGCGGUAAUCCGUAGGGGGCACGCGUAAUCCGGAUUUACUGGGUGUAAAGGGAGCGUAGACGGCAGGACAAGUCUGGAGAGAAAUGCCGGGGCUUAACCCCGGAACUGCCUUGGAAACUGUGCGGCUGGAGUGCAGGAGAGGUAAGUGGAAUGCAUAGUGUAGCGGUGAAAUGCGUAGAUAUUAGGAAGAACACCAGUGGCGAAGGCGACUUACUGGACUGUAACUGACGUUGAGGCUCGAAAGCGUGGGGAGCAAACAGGAUUAGAUACCCCAGUAGUC